GAGCUUGAUUGCAAGACAUACAGGUCGAGCAAGGAUGAAAAUCGGACUUAGUGAUCCGGUGGUUCUGCGUGGAAGGGCCAUCGCUCAACGGAUAAAAGCUACCCUGGGGAUAACAGGCUUAUCUCCCCCAAGAGUCCACAUCGACGGGGAGGUUUGGCACCUCGAUGUCGGCUCAUCACAUCCUGGGGCUGUAGUAGGUCCCAAGGGUUGGGCUGUUCGCCCAUUAAAGUGGUACGCGAGCUGGGUUCAGAACGUCGUGAGACAGUUCGGUCCCUAUCCGUCGCAGGCGUAGGAAAUUUGAGAAGACCUGUCCUUAGUACGAGAGGACCGGGAUGGACGUACCUCUGGUGUACCAGUUGUCCUGCCAAGGGCAUGGCUGGGUAGCUAUGUACGGAAUGGAUAAGCGCUGAAAGCAUCUAAGCGCGAAGCCAACUUCAAGAUAAGAUUUCCCACCGCAAGGGUAAGACCCCAGAAAGACUAUCUGGUUGAUAGGUCGAAGGUGUAAGUGCAGCAAUGUACUUAGCUUAUCGAUACUAAUAGGUCGAGGACUUGACCAAU
RNAcentral lists this ribosomal RNA (558 nucleotides) under Clostridioides difficile. RNAcentral describes it as "partial 23S ribosomal RNA". It matches the Rfam family "Bacterial large subunit ribosomal RNA", at positions 2365 to 2925 of the family's 2925-position model. Lineage: Bacteria; Bacillati; Bacillota; Clostridia; Peptostreptococcales; Peptostreptococcaceae. The record is from RNAcentral.